RNAcentral lists this ribosomal RNA (497 nucleotides) under uncultured bacterium. RNAcentral describes it as "partial 16S ribosomal RNA". It matches the Rfam family "Bacterial small subunit ribosomal RNA", at positions 28 to 507 of the family's 1533-position model. The record is from RNAcentral.
GAUGAACGCUGGCGGCGUGCCUAAUACAUGCAAGUCGAGCGAACGGACGAGAAGCUUGCUUCUCUGAUGUUAGCGGCGGACGGGUGAGUAACACGUGGAUAACCUACCUAUAAGACUGGGAUAACUUCGGGAAACCGGAGCUAAUACCGGAUAAUAUUUUGAACCGCAUGGUUCAAAAGUGAAAGACGGUCUUGCUGUCACUUAUAGAUGGAUCCGCGCUGCAUUAGCUAGUUGGUAAGGUAACGGCUUACCAAGGCAACGAUGCAUAGCCGACCUGAGAGGGGGAUCGGCCACACUGGAACUGAGACACGGUCCAGACUCCUACGGGAGGCAGCAGUAGGGAAUGUUCCGCAAUGGGCGAAAGCCUGACGGAGCAACGCCGCGUGAGUGAUGAAGGUCUUCGGAUCGUAAAACUCUGUUAUUAGGGAAGAACAUAUGUGUAAGUAACUGUGCACAUCUUGACGGUACCUAAUCAGAAAGCCACGGCUAACUACGUG